CUGGCUCAGGAUGAACGCUGGCGGCGUGCUUAACACAUGCAAGUCGAACGAUGAUGCCAGCUUGCUGGCGGAUUAGUGGCGAACGGGUGAGUAACACGUGAGUAACCUGCCCUUAACUCUGGGAUAAGCCUGGGAAACUGGGUCUAAUACCGGAUAUGACUCCUCAUCGCAUGGUGGGGGGUGGAAAGCUUUAUUGUGGUUUUGGAUGGACUCGCGGCCUAUCAGCUUGUUGGUGAGGUAAUGGCUCACCAAGGCGACGACGGGUAGCCGGCCUGAGAGGGUGACCGGCCACACUGGGACUGAGACACGGCCCAGACUCCUACGGGAGGCAGCAGUGGGGAAUAUUGCACAAUGGGCGAAAGCCUGAUGCAGCGACGCCGCGUGAGGGAUGACGGCCUUCGGGUUGUAAACCUCUUUCAGUAGGGAAGAAGCGAAAGUGACGGUACCUGCAGAAGAAGCGCCGGCUAACUACGUGCCAGCAGCCGCGGUAAUACGUAGGGCGCAAGCGUUAUCCGGAAUUAUUGGGCGUAAAGAGCUCGUAGGCGGUUUGUCGCGUCUGCCGUGAAAGUCCGGGGCUCAACUCCGGAUCUGCGGUGGGUACGGGCAGACUAGAGUGAUGUAGGGGAGACUGGAAUUCCUGGUGUAGCGGUGAAAUGCGCAGAUAUCAGGAGGAACACCGAUGGCGAAGGCAGGUCUCUGGGCAUUAACUGACGCUGAGGAGCGAAAGCAUGGGGAGCGAACAGGAUUAGAUACCCGGG
This 758-nucleotide ribosomal RNA is filed under the name Arthrobacter sp. RNAcentral describes it as "bacterial SSU rRNA". It matches the Rfam family "Bacterial small subunit ribosomal RNA", at positions 19 to 790 of the family's 1533-position model. The record is from RNAcentral. Lineage: Bacteria; Bacillati; Actinomycetota; Actinomycetes; Micrococcales; Micrococcaceae.